AUUGAACGCUGGCGGCAUGCUUUACACAUGCAAGUCGAACGGUAACAGCACUUCGGUGGCUGACGAGUGGCGAACGGGUGAGUAAUACAUCGGAACGUGCCUAGUAGUGGGAGAUAACUACUCGAAAGAGUAGCUAAUACCGCAUGAGAUCAAAGGAUGAAAGCAGGGGACCUUCGGGCCUUGCGCUACUAGAGCGGCUGAUGGCAGAUUAGGUAGUUGGUGGGAUAAAAGCUUACCAAGCCGACGAUCUGUAGCUGGUCUGAGAGGACGACCAGCCACACUGGGACUGAGACACGGCCCAGACUCCUACGGGAGGCAGCAGUGGGGAAUUUUGGACAAUGGGCGCAAGCCUGAUCCAGCAAUGCCGCGUGCAGGAUGAAGGCCUUCGGGUUGUAAACUGCUUUUGUACGGAACGAAAAGCCCUCUUCUAAUACAGGAGGGUCAUGACGGUACCGUAAGAAUAAGCACCGACUAACUACGUG
This 482-nucleotide ribosomal RNA is filed under the name uncultured bacterium. RNAcentral's name for it is "partial 16S ribosomal RNA". It matches the Rfam family "Bacterial small subunit ribosomal RNA", at positions 30 to 507 of the family's 1533-position model. The record is from RNAcentral.